ACUCAAAGGAAUUGACGGGGGCCCGCACAAGCAGCGGAGCGUGUGGUUUAAUUCGACGCAACACGCAGAACCUUACCCAGGCUUGACAUGCAGCUGCACGCGUGAGAAAUCACGUUCCUUCGAGGGUGCUGCACCGGUGCUGCAUGGCUGUCGUCAGCUCGUGUCGUGAGAUGUUGGGUUAAGUCCCGCAACGAGCGCAACCCUUGCCCCGUGUUAUUUGUGUCACGGGGGACUGCCGCUGGGUUCCAGCGGAGGAAGGCGGGGACGAUGUCAAGUCCGCAUGGCCCCUACGCCUGGGGCGACACACACGCUACAAUGGCCGGCGGAACGCGCUGCGACCCUGCAAGGGGGAGCCAAUCGCCAAGGUCGGUCUCAGUUCAGAUUGGGGGCUGCAACUCGCCCCCAUGAAGGCGGAGUUGCUAGUAACCGCGUGUCAGCAUAGCGCGGUGAAUACGUACCCGGGCCUUGUACACACCGCCCGU
This 482-nucleotide ribosomal RNA is filed under the name uncultured bacterium. Its description in RNAcentral is "partial 16S ribosomal RNA". It matches the Rfam family "Bacterial small subunit ribosomal RNA", at positions 899 to 1397 of the family's 1533-position model. The record is from RNAcentral.